GGGGAUGUAGCUCAGUGGUAGAGUGCUUGCUUGCCUAGCAUGUCUGAGGUCCUAGGUUCCAUCCCCU
This 67-nucleotide transfer RNA is filed under the name Ictidomys tridecemlineatus (thirteen-lined ground squirrel). RNAcentral's name for it is "Spermophilus tridecemlineatus (thirteen-lined ground squirrel) tRNA". It matches the Rfam family "tRNA". Rfam says of the family: Transfer RNA (tRNA) molecules are approximately 80 nucleotides in length. Their secondary structure includes four short double-helical elements and three loops (D, anti-codon, and T loops). Further hydrogen bonds mediate the characteristic L-shaped molecular structure. tRNAs have two regions of fundamental functional importance: the anti-codon, which is responsible for specific mRNA codon recognition, and the 3' end, to which the tRNAs corresponding amino acid is attached (by aminoacyl-tRNA synthetases). tRNAs cope with the degeneracy of the genetic code in two manners: having more than one tRNA (with a specific anti-codon) for a particular amino acid; and 'wobble' base-pairing, i.e. permitting non-standard base-pairing at the 3rd anti-codon position. The record is from Rfam by way of RNAcentral. Lineage: Eukaryota; Metazoa; Chordata; Mammalia; Rodentia; Sciuridae.